RNAcentral lists this ribosomal RNA (468 nucleotides) under uncultured bacterium. Its description in RNAcentral is "partial 16S ribosomal RNA". It matches the Rfam family "Bacterial small subunit ribosomal RNA", at positions 28 to 507 of the family's 1533-position model. The record is from RNAcentral.
GACGAACGCUGGCGGCGUGCUUAACACAUGCAAGUCGAACGGAAAGGCCCUGCUUUUGUGGGGUGCUCGAGUGGCGAACGGGUGAGUAACACGUGAGUAACCUGCCCUCGACUUUGGGAUAACUUCAGGAAACUGGGGCUAAUACCGGAUAGGAGCUCCUGCUGCAUGGUGGGGGUUGGAAAGUUUCGGCGGUUGGGGAUGGACUCGCGGCUUAUCAGCUUGUUGGUGGGGUAGUGGCUUACCAAGGCUUUGACGGGUAGCCGGCCUGAGAGGGUGACCGGCCACAUUGGGACCGAGAUACGGCCCAGACUCCUACGGGAGGCAGCAGUGGGGAAUAUUGCACAAUGGGCGGAAGCCUGAUGCAGCAACGCCGCGUGCGGGAUGACGGCCUUCGGGUUGUAAACCGCUUUCGCCUGUGACGAAGCGUGAGUGACGGUAAUGGGUAAAGAAGCACCGGCUAACUACGUG